AUGUCUUCAGGGCAUUCUUAUCGAUUGUUGGCUAAGAUCAAGUGUAGUAUCUGUUCUUAUCGGUUUAAUAUCUGAUAUGUCCCCUAUCCAGGAACCAUAUAUUUAAUACAUUUUUCAGAAUGGGGGCCAAUUUUGAAGCUUGCUUCAGUCACCCUAGGUUUGUGACUGAUAGGUCUGUUUCUGCAAGCUGGUGCA
Hyla sarda is the source of this 195-nucleotide small nuclear RNA. RefSeq annotates it as U2 spliceosomal RNA. The record is from RefSeq and is a predicted model, not a curated record. The transcript has a single exon. Lineage: Eukaryota; Metazoa; Chordata; Amphibia; Anura; Hylidae.